This 301-nucleotide ribosomal RNA is filed under the name uncultured bacterium. RNAcentral's name for it is "partial 16S ribosomal RNA". It matches the Rfam family "Bacterial small subunit ribosomal RNA", at positions 509 to 807 of the family's 1533-position model. The record is from RNAcentral.
CAGUCGCCGCGGGAAAACGGAGGGGGCUAGCGUUGUUCGGAUUUACUGGGCGUAAAGCGUACGUAGGCGGACUUUUAAGUCAGGGGUGAAAUCCCGGGGCUCAACCCCGGAACUGCCUUUGAUACUGGAAGUCUUGAGUAUGGUAGAGGUGAGUAGAAUUCCGAGUGUAGAGGUGAAAUUCGUAGAUAUUCGGAGGAACACCAGUGGCGAAGGCGGCUAACUGGACCAUUACUGACGCUGAGGUGCGAAAGCGUGGGGAGCAAACAGGAUUAGAUACCCCCGUAGUCCCUGUCUCUUAUAC